AGAGUUUGAUCCUGGCUCAGAUUGAACGCUGGCGGCAUGCUUUACACAUGCAAGUCGAGCGGCAGCGCGGGGGCAACCCUGGCGGCGAGCGGCGAACGGGUGAGUAACGCAUCGGAACGUAUCCUCUUGUGGGGGAUAACCCACCGAAAGGUGGGCUAAUACCGCAUAAGCUCUGAGGAGGAAAGCGGGGGACCGAAAGGCCUCGCGCAGGAGGAGCGGCCGAUGUCCGAUUAGCUAGUUGGUGAGGUAAAGGCUCACCAAGGCGACGAUCGGUAGCUGGUCUGAGAGGAUGAUCAGCCACACUGGGACUGAGACACGGCCCAGACUCCUACGGGAGGCAGCAGUGGGGAAUUUUGGACAAUGGGGGCAACCCUGAUCCAGCCAUGCCGCGUGAGUGAAGAAGGCCUUCGGGUUGUAAAGCUCUUUCGGACGGAACGAAAUUGCCUGGGCUAAUACUCUGGGUAGAUGACGGAACCGAAAGAAGAAGCACCGGCUAACUACAUGCCAGCAGCCGCGGUAAUACGUAUGGUGCGAGCGUUAAUACGAAUUACUGGGCGUAAAGCGUGCGC
This 569-nucleotide ribosomal RNA is filed under the name uncultured freshwater bacterium. RNAcentral describes it as "bacterial SSU rRNA". It matches the Rfam family "Bacterial small subunit ribosomal RNA", at positions 8 to 572 of the family's 1533-position model. The record is from RNAcentral.